Long non-coding RNA from Thalassophryne amazonica, 409 nucleotides. RefSeq lists it as uncharacterized. The transcript is spliced from 4 exons. NCBI's taxonomy places the organism in Eukaryota, Metazoa, Chordata, Actinopteri, Batrachoidiformes, Batrachoididae. The record is from RefSeq and is a predicted model, not a curated record.
UUCCUCCUCCAUGUCCCUCACCUUUGGCCCCUCAGCCCCGUGAACUUAUCACGAUAGAGGAGGAGAGCGAGAGGCUGACCAGAGAGCUCAGAGAGGUGUCCAGGAACAGAGACAGACUCCGGAAUCAACUGAACCAGCUCUGUCAGUACAGAGCAGUUUGACCAAAACGCAUGCUCUCACCACCUCACAGGCACAGCCACCUGCACUCGAGGGCCAUGGCCUCUUUGAUAAUCGGCAAGAUAUGCGCCUCAGUUUCAUUGCUGGAGUGGUUCAUCCCUGGAAGGUGCCUUCGUUUGAACGGCUGCUGUGGCGAGCGUGUCGUGGCUACAUCAUUGUAGAGUUCCGAGAGAUGGACGAACUGCUGGAGCACCCGGACACGGUAUACAUUGAAGAGAUUAGAUCUGAUGUG